This 357-nucleotide transfer-messenger RNA is filed under the name Gemmatimonas groenlandica. RNAcentral describes it as "Standard tmRNA". It matches the Rfam family "transfer-messenger RNA". From Rfam's summary of the family: Bacterial tmRNA, also known as 10Sa RNA or SsrA, is named for its dual tRNA and mRNA-like properties. Its role is to liberate the mRNA from a stalled ribosome. Lineage: Bacteria; Pseudomonadati; Gemmatimonadota; Gemmatimonadia; Gemmatimonadales; Gemmatimonadaceae. The record is from Rfam by way of RNAcentral.
GGGGGUGACUGGCUUCGACGGGGUUGGUGAAGCUCUGGUUGCGUGCCCAGGUCCUCGAGCACCUGGUAAAACACUCGGGAAAAUUCCAAUCGCGAACAACAACCUCGCGCUCGCCGCCUAACCUUCGGGUUACCGGCAGUGCUCACAAGGCAGCCCGCCCGGGGCGGCAUGUGAGUAUCGAAAAUCUGGGCUAGUCCGACGUCGCGCCUGCGGGCGUUGGGCAAAACUUUAGCAGGCUUGUCUGGACGUGGGCUUUCUGUUGGCCAGCGGACAGAGACCUCAAUCAACAGAAUACGCACGUAGACGCUGGGGUCGAUUCAGUCUCGGACAGGGGUUCGAUUCCCCUCACCUCCACUU